GGGUGUUUAAUGAGGCUUCAAGCAAAGGGAUGUGGCCUUCAGGCCAAGAAGGCUGGAGACGGGGUGCAAACCCAUGAUUGACUCCUUUUCUCACCAAUCUUGCUGAUUAAAGCACUGAGAAAGAUUGAAAUCAUCGAGAGUGGACGUACCUGCGCCUCUUCUCCCGGAACCGUGCAUAGCAGUGUCGUUGUUGGAGGAUGCCCAGUUCACAUCCCAUGCACUCACCCACGAAGGAAGGCUCCUUUCCAGGCCAUCCAACUGGUUACAACCUAAAUCAAGUCACUGAAGAUGCUAAGGAAGGUGUGAUGG
This is a long non-coding RNA of Mobula hypostoma (lesser devil ray), 309 nucleotides long. RefSeq lists it as uncharacterized. The record is from RefSeq and is a predicted model, not a curated record. NCBI's taxonomy places the organism in Eukaryota, Metazoa, Chordata, Chondrichthyes, Myliobatiformes, Myliobatidae. The transcript is spliced from 3 exons.